GAUCCUGGCUCAGGAUGAACGCUGGCGGCGUGCUUAACACAUGCAAGUCGAGCGAAGCACUUUACUUGGAUUUCUUCGGAAUGACGAGUAUUGUGACUGAGCGGCGGACGGGUGAGGUAACGCGUGGGUAACCUGCCUCAUACAGGGGGAUAACAGUUAGAAAUGACUGCUAAUACCGCAUAAGACCACAGCACCGCAUGGUGCAGAGGUAAAAACUCCGGUGGUAUGAGAUGGACCCG
RNAcentral lists this ribosomal RNA (239 nucleotides) under uncultured bacterium. RNAcentral's name for it is "partial 16S ribosomal RNA". It matches the Rfam family "Bacterial small subunit ribosomal RNA", at positions 15 to 233 of the family's 1533-position model. The record is from RNAcentral.